GGGGUUGUGGCUCAGUGGUAGACUGCUUGCUGAGCACGCAUGAGGCACUGGGUUCGAUCCCCAGCACCACA
This 71-nucleotide transfer RNA is filed under the name Marmota monax (woodchuck). RNAcentral's name for it is "tRNA.Ala". The record is from RNAcentral. Lineage: Eukaryota; Metazoa; Chordata; Mammalia; Rodentia; Sciuridae.